This 237-nucleotide ribosomal RNA is filed under the name uncultured bacterium. RNAcentral's name for it is "partial 16S ribosomal RNA". It matches the Rfam family "Bacterial small subunit ribosomal RNA", at positions 15 to 244 of the family's 1533-position model. The record is from RNAcentral.
GAUCCUGGCUCAGGAUAAACGCUGGCGGCGCACAUAAGACAUGCAAGUCGAACGAACUUAACCAUUAGUUUACUAUUGGAGCGGUUAGUGGCGGACUGGUGAGUAACACGUAAGCAACCUGCCUAUCAGAGGGGAACAACAGUUAGAAAUGACUGCUAAUACCGCAUAUGCCUUAGAAUCACAUGGUUCAAAAGGGAAAGGAGCAAUCCGCUGAUAGAUGGGCUUGCGUCUGAUUAG